Molecule: ribosomal RNA, 540 nt
Filed under: uncultured bacterium
Lineage: Bacteria
Description: bacterial SSU rRNA
Rfam family: Bacterial small subunit ribosomal RNA
Source: RNAcentral
ACUCAAUAGAUACCCGGGUAGUCCACGCCCUAAACGAUGUCUACUAGUUGUCGGGUCUUAAUUGACUUGGUAAACGCAGCUAAACGCGUGAAGUAGACCGCCUGGGGAGUACGGUCGCAAGAUUAAAACUCAAAGGAAUUGACGGGGACCCGCACAAGCGGUGGAUGAUGUGGAUUAAUUCGAUGCAACGCGAAAAACCUUACCUACCCUUGACAUGGAUGGAAUCCCUGAGAGAUUGGGGAGUGCUCGAAAGAGAACCAUUACACAGGUGCUGCAUGGCUGUCGUCAGCUCGUGUCGUGAGAUGUUGGGUUAAGUCCCGCAACGAGCGCAACCCUUGUCAUUAGUUGCUACGAAAGGGCACUCUAAUGAGACUGCCGGUGACAAACCGGAGGAAGGUGGGGAUGACGUCAAGUCCUCGUGGCCCUUAUGGGUAGGGCUUCACACGUCAUACAAUGGUACAUACAGAGGGCCGCCAACCCGGCGAGGGGGUAGCUAAUCCCAGAAAGUGUAUCGUAGUCCGGAUUGUAGUCUGCAACUCG